RNAcentral lists this long non-coding RNA (798 nucleotides) under Salvia miltiorrhiza (redroot sage). RNAcentral's name for it is "long non-coding RNA (SMIL_LNC003163)". Lineage: Eukaryota; Viridiplantae; Streptophyta; Magnoliopsida; Lamiales; Lamiaceae. The record is from RNAcentral.
UUUUAGUAAUUUUACAAAUAUAUUUAAAAAAAUAAAAAAUAUUAAUUUGAGAGAGAGAAGAGAGUCCAAGGAGGCAGUGGUCGGUGGUUAUUUUGGAAGAGAGAGAGAGUUGCUAAAUGGGCUGCUGAGUGGGCUUAUUCUUUUAAUUAGAAUGGAAUUGUUUCCUUCUUUUAAUAUGCGAAUUCAGAAUGAUAUAGUUUCAUAUUUGAGAUGAGAAUUGGGAUGAGAGUAUAUAUAAUAAAUAUAUAUUAAUUAUAAUUUAAUCGGUUAAUUAAUCGGUUAUUCACAUAAAUUUAUUCCAGUGUCCUUCCAAAAAAAUAAAACAAUAAAUUAUCGUACUAGUUUAGUGAUGCUAGACGAUUAAUGUGGUGGUUAUCUCAUCUGCUAUAAUAAUAAUUCAAAUGCAUUUACAGACAAUAUUUAUGGUAUGAUGUAUUAUGUAUAUUGUGACAGAACAAAGGUAAUGUUGCUAAAUGGUAAGGUAUGUCUUUUCUAAAGAAAAUAUAUGCUAUAAUUUGAGACUUUUCUAGUUUUCUGCCCCGUUUCUGUAGAGCUUGCAAAUGAUGAUUUUGGGUAUUGACUUUACAAUAUAACUUGUGCUUGGUUAUUAAUAUGCUUGCUAAUUGUUAUAUUGGACUUUUUUUAAAAAAAUAAUUAUGUUUAUUUUUUUUAACUUGCUAUAUAAUUUAAAUAACAUUAUAAUUAUAUUAAUUAUUAUUAUUUAUUUUUUAAUUUUUUUUAUUUAAUUAUUAUUUUUUUGAAAAAAAAAUUUUGGACCCCCCCUGAGUCGAAAGUCUG